Mugil cephalus (flathead mullet) is the source of this 236-nucleotide long non-coding RNA. RefSeq lists it as uncharacterized. The record is from RefSeq and is a predicted model, not a curated record. Lineage: Eukaryota; Metazoa; Chordata; Actinopteri; Mugiliformes; Mugilidae. The transcript is spliced from 3 exons.
AAACCUUUGACUUGCACUGCUAAGUUUGUUUCCGGAGAGACCUCAGACUCAGCCAGUCUUCGUAUAAAGAAAUACGAGAAACCAGUUGAUCCUCAUGAAAAUGACACGUUCUCUGUUCUGGUGGCCGACGUUCCCUUCAGAUUCAGCGCCCUGCCCCGGUCCUGUGUGGUGAUUCCCUGCAGUUUCCAGCACGAACAGGACGAGCCUAUGACUCGAGGCAUUUGGUCCAAAAAAAA